CAGCUACCAUAAUUUUAUUUUAUUCGCAAGAAUUUCGUUUUUAUUACUUCCUUCUUCGAAGUGACAUUAUUGCCAAGGUUAAUGGAGAGAUCCAUGUUUAAUGAUAUUAAAGUCUGUUGGUUUAACUGAUUACAUCGUUUAGUGCUAAUCCUGUGGGGGAGGGGGGAGUAAAGGUGAGUCAGCACUCACCGAAUUUCUCCUAACUCUUUAGGUCCGUGUAAAAAUAAAGAAAUCUUUAUUAUGUUUGGCAGGAGAGGGAACUUGUAACUAGGAAGAGAGCGCCGUCACUGAAAGCAAUGGGGGGUGGCGAGGGAAACAUGCAAACCAACACUUUUCCGUCUCUGUGGAUCAAAGGAACCGAAAACAUGACUCGUUUUGUAAGGACGACGCAAACACUGUGGCUUAUGCUGACCAUUGACAGAGGCUGAGUUAGACUAGAGGCUUCGUGUGUUACAAAGGAUAUGAUGAAGUUGAGUAUCAGGAGCUUUAAAAAAGAGAGAGAACCGAGUUGACAACCAGAUGAAGUGGGAAAGAAGGGGAGGAGAAUACACCCAGGAGCCUGAGCAGGCAGGUAAAUCAUCAAAAAUUCAGUUCCUGCAACUAAUGAAAAAACCAAUCUCACUGUACUCCAGGGGAAAUGGUUCGCUGACGCAAGGCUCGAUGACUGGAGAAGCGCCGCCGCCAGCUCCGAAGGCGACUUGCCGACCUCAGCGCCCUGGGCUCGCGCGGCGCACCGCCCGCCCCUCCGCGCCCGCCCGGCCCCGCUCGCGGAGUGCGCGCGAGGGGGAGUAUCGUCUCCUCGGGCUGGAGCUCGGUGCCAGGACGCUUUCCUGACAUAACCCUGCCCCAGGGCGGGCCAAGACGGGCACUAACCAUUGCUUAGCUUCCCUACUGCCGCUCAGGUCCCCACUACGACCGGCAACUGCCUUGAAACCCACCCCCAAUGGCAGACACUCUGGCCUCACACCUCCCCUUGGUCCCCGCUUUCCCGGCCCUUUCCGGGGAUCCCACACCCUCACCCCAUUUCUCCCGCCCGUCGGGGCCGAACACUGGCACCUCUCCUCGCGCGCAUUCCGCCGCGCCAUUUUAACCCCUUCGACGUUUCCGCUCCGGAGGGGGCGGAAACGGAGGAAACCCAUCCUCCCCACCUCACCCCACCCCGCCCCACCCGCGCGGGCCCUCGCCUAAGGCAGCCCGGAGGGGAUUGUGAAACAACACGGUGGCGGGCGGGGGUGGGGGACACGCUACCUCCGGGCUCUCCAAACUUUGGCAAAAUCUCGGGAACACUGAUGCUCCCCCAGGACAGUCUUCUUCGCCUCGCGGCAAGCGCGGGGUAUCCGAGUUUCUCGGCACCAACGGCGAAGAGCCUCUCCCUUUCCCCAACCCCUUUAAGGACAUCUGAUCUUCAGUCUCUUAACUUUCUCCUCGGGUCUAACAGCUUCUUCAGCCGCGGAGAGCGACCCCAGGCGAAGCCGGAAAGGGAGAAAGCCAGGGUGUGGGGCUCAUGCAAACCUGGGCGCCCAGAGGUUGGCUGAGGCCCUGCGGGUCGAGGCCCCGCGGGCUCUUGAGCAGGAGGAAGCCCCGGGAGAUCUGCGCGGGGCACGUUGCCGCGCCUGAAACAGGCGUUCCCUUUUCCAGAUCAUAUUCCCCAUAAAAUCUAAAGCCAGAUGCAUCGCUUGGGCAAGUUCCCAUUUCACCGCGAAAAGCACGGAUUUGUUUCCAAACUGGACUCCAAAUCGAGGUUUCUGGUGCGGGUUCCAGUGGCCUGCGCAAGGUUGGGGUUUCGAUGCCUCAAGGGACUGCCCGGGCGGGUAACGUUUUAGAUAUUCUACCCCAGGCAAAGCAUCAUUUGCGAAUGCGGAGAUUUAAUUUUAAAAAAAGGGGGGUGGGGGUGGUGCGAAGUAAACACAACUACGGGCUUUCAAAGCCGUGUGUGUACUUUUUAAGUGAGGUGGAGGAUAAAAGAUCAAUUUCAUCUAUAGACGCCCAGUUUAGCAAGAUAACCUGAUGGAAUCUCUGUUUCACAGAAAUAAGUUACAAGGGGGGAAACUUGCAAGAAAGUGCGAACAGUGGCCACAUAUGAAACCAAAGGGCGAGCAUGGUGAAAGCAGGCAUUUUAAUCACCCUGUUGAGUCAAAAAAUAGCUUUUGCUGAGUUGGGUUUUUUUUUUUUUUUUUUUUUUUAAGAAAUAGAAGACUCCUUCCCAAAGAAAUAGCCUACGGGUCUAUUUCACCUGCGAGUUUCCUCUCAUUAUUGUAUAAAGAAAUUUGGGUGUAGUGGGCCAUGUUUUUCACAGAACUUUCUGGUAUUUGCAGUUGUGGUGAACAGGAAAGGAAUAAAAACGAACAUAAUUAGUCUG
Molecule: long non-coding RNA, 2359 nt
Organism: Bubalus bubalis (water buffalo)
Lineage: Eukaryota; Metazoa; Chordata; Mammalia; Artiodactyla; Bovidae
Exons: 2
Source: RefSeq, a predicted model, not a curated record